Molecule: ribosomal RNA, 468 nt
Filed under: uncultured bacterium
Lineage: Bacteria
Description: partial 16S ribosomal RNA
Rfam family: Bacterial small subunit ribosomal RNA
Source: RNAcentral
GACGAACGCUGGCGGCGUGCUUAACACAUGCAAGUCGAACGGAAAGGCCCUGCUUUUGUGGGGUGCUCGAGUGGCGAACGGGUGAGUAACACGUGAGUAACCUGCCCUUGACUUUGGGAUAACUUCAGGAAACUGGGGCUAAUACCGGAUAGGAGCUCCUGCUGCAUGGUGGGGGUUGGAAAGUUUCGGCGGUUGGGGAUGGACUCGCGGCUUAUCAGCUUGUUGGUGGGGUAGUGGCUUACCAAGGCUUUGACGGGUAGCCGGCCUGAGAGGGUGACCGGCCACAUUGGGACUGAGAUACGGCCCAGACUCCUACGGGAGGCAGCAGUGGGGAAUAUUGCACAAUGGGCGGGAGCCUGAUGCAGCAACGCCGGGUGCGGGAUGACGGCCUUCGGGGUGGAAACCGCUUUCGCCUGUGACGAAGCGGGAGUGACGGUAAUGGGUAAAGAAGCCCCGGCUAACUACGUG